CCAAGAUGGAGGUAUUUAAGGAGAACCAGAUGGGACCCUGAUUUGAGGGUUUUGAGGGGAACCAGGGGUGCCAAAAACUCAUCAGCACUAAGUGCCAAAUCAUCAAGCAUCAGAAAAUUAAAAAAAUAAAGAAAUCUCAUGUAUGAAGUGAAUAUGGGAAAUGCUUCAUUCAGAGGUCCUGGUUCAUUGAUCACCAGAAUCAUCAUGCAGAAGGGGAGCUCCACAAAUGGAGUCUAGGUGGGAAAGUAUUUUCCAGAAAGUUCAUGCUCACCAAAUACCAGAGAACACACAUAUAGGAGAAAAACCUUAUGAAUGCACUGUAUGUGGCAAAGCCUUCCUCAAGAAAUCAUGGCUCGAUGUACGUCAGAAAACACACACAUGAGAGAAACACUUCAUGCGCAGUGAAUGUGGAAAAGGCUUCAUCCAAAAAGAUAAAGAAGAUAUAAGACUUUCAUCAGAAGUCCUAUACUUGGUCAAUUUCAUAACCAUUUGCACAUAAUACUGUAAUAAAACUAUAUACUUAUAAUAUUAAAAAAAAAGAAAAGUCUUCAUCCCGAAGGGGAGUCUCAGGGUAAAUCCGCUGAUUCAUACAGGAGAGAAACCUUGUAUAUGCAACCAGUGUGGGAAAGGCUUCAGCCAAAGAUGUGCCUCAUAGCAUAUCAGAGAUUUUACACAGGAAAGACUCCCUUUGUGGGCAGUGAAUGUGGAAAAUCCUGUUCCCAGAAGACAGGUCUCAUUUAACAUCAAAGGACUCACACAGGAAAGAAACCCUUUGAAUAUAGUAAGUGUGGGAAAGCCUUUAUCGGAAGUCACAGCUCAUUAUACAUCAGAGAACUCAUACAGGAGAGAAACCAUAUAGAUGGAUUGAAUGUGGGAAAUCUUUUCAAGGGAAGUCAGUCUUCAAUAAACAUCAGAAAAUUCAUUUAGUCAAAGAAGAAAGUCCUCCAUCUGUCACAGGUCCUCACAGACCAGUGUUGUCCUGCAAGAGAAAACCCUUUUUAAUAUGGUGACUAUCCAUUGGCUUGUGGCUUGUCAGACACCAUUAAACAUCGUGGACUUCUGGCAAUAGGAAUGUGGUCAUAGUGGGACAGCCUGCAGCCAGAUGUAUUUGUUAAAUACUUAUACUGGGUCCUAUUCCAGGAGCUGAAUAUACAGUGGUGGCCAAAACAGAAAAAGCCCCUGGACUCCUGGAGAGAACACUGAGAAUCAAGUGAAGUCAGGAGCAGGAUGUUCCAAGACCAGGGGAGCAUUACUUUUGGAGACAUUAACAUGACAUGUGAAGUCUGUGACGAGAACUUGAGUGACAGUCUAGAAGAAUAAAAUGGGAUUCCGGUUCUGGUCAUUUUCUAAGAGCAGAAGGAAAGGACCAAGGUCCAGGGAACCAAAGUACCAGACCAAUGGGAAUCUUAAUUUGAAGCUAGGAGAUAAACCAUAGGUAGAAAGGGAAGACCAUGCUUGGAGCUUUCCAGGUUAGCUUUGUUUAAACCAAUGUCUACAACAAGUGGAAGAUUAAGUGCCCCAGUUUCCUGAUCUGAAUGAGGACCCCUUAAUUGAUGAAUUCCAGAUCUAUGACAACUAAGAAGUUUGAGAAGUUGGUGAUCAAAUGCAGUGGCCUUUGGAAAUCCAAAACAAGCUUAAGACCAUGAAAAGAGGUCAUGAACACAGUUCAUCUAGAUAUGUUUCAUCUGUACAUAAAUCUUCUUACUUUAAAGCAAAGUCGUGAUAGUUUUGACAUACUGAACUCUAAUUUAGAAUUAGUUCACCAGAAUAAAAGUUGUGCAGUGAAGAAUACUGAGAAGUUUAAUAAAGAAAUCAAUCAUUUCUUCAUAUUAAGCAUGAAAGAUGAUCCAUUGGAAUUAAAUGCAGUCAAUACAGACAUACAAUCAGCACCAAUUUGCAAUUCAUUACACAUCAAACUGAAAAAGGAAAGAAACAUCAUGAACAUAUUAAAUGGAGUAAGACCUUUAUGAGAAGGUCUCUGCUCACUGAACAGCAGAGAACUCGUGCAGAACAAAAGGCCCAUGGAUGCGGGGUACGUGGGAAACUUUUCUCCAGGAAGUUUUAGCUCACUGCAGAGAACUCCUGCAGGAGAAACUAUGAAAAUGCCUUAAAUGUGGCAAAGUAUUCUGUAGGAAAGCAGAGCUCACUAUACAUCAGCGAACGGAAAGAAGAAUGAAGCCCCGUGGAUGCAGCGGGUGUGAGAAAGCUUUCUCCAGGAAGUCUCAGCUCUGUGCACGUCAGGGACGUCACACCGGAAAUGCUCCCUAUCUAGGCAGUGGCUGUGGAAAAUCCUGCUUUCAGAAGUCAAGUGUCAUUAGACAUCAAAGAACUCAUACAGGAGAGAAACCCUGUGAAUGUAGUGAAUGUGGGAAAGGCUAUUCCACAAGGAUUCCAUUUGGGAUACCAUAAUACGUUUUGUUGUACCAUCUCCUUAGGCCGUUCUUGGCUAUGAUGGUCUCUCAUACGUUCCUUGCUUUUAAUGACCAUGACAGUUUUGAGAAGUGCUGGAUUGUACAGUAACAGCUUAGGACCACUCAGUUGUCGUUACUACCCGUUUGGUGGCCUGAGCAGUGGGAGCCGCACCCCAGUCUUCAGCGGGGUGCUGAGCACUCCGGUCUUCAGUGGGGAACUGCUGAAAAAACACAGAGGCACAUGCCUGGCUGCAGAGCAGGCCUGGGACCACAGGUGGAGCAGCCAUGAACUUGGGAGCCAGAGAAGUCUGUUCCUUGAAAUGGAUGCUGGCGUUUGUCAAAAGCUUUUUGUGUGUCUAUUGAGAUAUCAUGGGACUCCAUUUUAGUUUCUUAAUGUGGUCAAUUACAUACCUGGCUUGAGUUGCGAAUGUUCUACUAAUCUUGCGUUCCUGGGAUCAAGUACAGCAAAGCCUUCGGUUGCAAGUAACGUGUUCUGCGAGUGUUCCACAAGAUGAGCAAACGUUUCUAAUAAACUUUAACUUGAUAAAUGA
This is a long non-coding RNA of Suricata suricatta (meerkat), 2962 nucleotides long. RefSeq lists it as uncharacterized. The transcript is spliced from 9 exons. The record is from RefSeq and is a predicted model, not a curated record. Lineage: Eukaryota; Metazoa; Chordata; Mammalia; Carnivora; Herpestidae.